RNAcentral lists this ribosomal RNA (497 nucleotides) under uncultured bacterium. RNAcentral describes it as "partial 16S ribosomal RNA". It matches the Rfam family "Bacterial small subunit ribosomal RNA", at positions 28 to 507 of the family's 1533-position model. The record is from RNAcentral.
GAUGAACGCUGGCGGCGUGCCUAAUACAUGCAAGUCGAGCGAACGGAUGAGAAGCUUGCUUCUCUGAUGUUAGCGGCGGACGGGUGAGUAACACGUGGAUAACCUACCUAUAAGACUGGGAUAACUUCGGGAAACCGGAGCUAAUACCGGAUAAUAUUUUGAACCGCAUGGUUCAAAAGUGAAAGACGGUCUUGCUGUCACUUAUAGAUGGAUCCGCGCUGCAUUAGCUAGUUGGUAAGGUAACGGCUUACCAAGGCAACGAUGCAUAGCCGACCUGAGAGGGUGAUCGGCCACACUGGAACUGAGACACGGUCCAGACUCCUACGGGAGGCAGCAGUAGGGAAUCUUCCGCAAUGGGCGAAAGCCUGACGGAGCAACGCCGCGUGAGUGAUGAAGGUCUUCGGAUCGUAAAACUCUGUUAUUAGGGAAGAACAUAUGUGUAAGUAACUGUGCACAUCUUGACGGUACCUAAUCAGAAAGCCACGGCUAGCUACGUG